AUGGUGCAGGAAAUCCCCAGGGAAGGGAAGCUGCUAUUUCCUGAAGGAGCCCUCUUCAGCUUGUUGGGUAGGAUCUUCAAAUGGCCACUGCUUCUCAGGGAAUUGCUGCAGCUCUCCACAGGCUCCAAAGCACAGUCAAGGCUGAGUCAGGAAGCCACCAUGUCUGCUUCUGUUGGACAAGAAGUCACUCUUGUCUGUACUGGAAGUGGUGGAAAUAUUGGAGCAUAUGAUGCAUCCUGGCACAAAGAAAUACCGGGGGAUGUCCCCAAAUUUGUGACAAUUGGCUAUUCCCGACCUUUUGGCAAUACGUAUUCCCUGACUAUGACUGACCUUCAGCCUGAGGAUGAGGCCAGUUAUUACUGUUCAACAUGGGAAUAUGGCACAAAUGCUCACACU
Psammomys obesus (fat sand rat) is the source of this 396-nucleotide non-coding RNA. NCBI's taxonomy places the organism in Eukaryota, Metazoa, Chordata, Mammalia, Rodentia, Muridae. The record is from the annotation of a RefSeq genome assembly.